UAGAGUAUGAUAGAGGAAAGCAGAAUUUCUAGUGUAGAGGUGAAAUUCGUAGAUAUUAGAAAGAAUACCAAUUGCGAAGGCAGCUUUCUGGAUCAUUACUGACGCUGAGGAACGAAAGCAUGGGUAGCGAAGAGGAUUAGAUACCCUCGUAGUCCAUGCCGUAAACGAUGUGUGUUAGACGUUGGAAAUUUAUUUUCAGUGUCGCAGCGAAAGCGUUAAACACACCGCCUGGGGAGUACGACCGCAAGGUUAAAACUCAAAUGAAUUGACGGGGACCCGCACAAGUAGUGGAGCAUGUGGUUUAAUUCGAAGAUACGCGCAGAACCUUACCAACACUUGACAUGUUCGUCGCGACUCUAAGAGAUUAGAGUUUUCGGUUCGGCCGGACGAAACACAGGUGCUGCAUGGCUGUCGUCAGCUCGUGUCGUGAGAUGUUGGGUUAAGUCCCGCAACGAGCGCAACCCUCACUUUUAGUUGCCAUCAUUUAGUUGGGCACUCUGAAAGAACUGCCAGUGAUAAGCUGGAGGAAGGUGGGGAUGACGUCAAGUCCUCAUGGCCCUUACGUGUUGGGCUACACACGUGCUACAAUGGCAUUUACAAUAGGAAGCAAGAUGGCGACAUCAAGCAAAUCCUAAAAAGAUGCCUCAGUUCGGAUUGUACUCUGCAACUCGAGUACAUGAAGCUGGAAUUACUAGUAAUCGCGGAUCAGCGCGCCGCGGUGAAUACGUUCCCGGGUCUUGUACACACCGCCCGUCACACCAUGGGAGUUGGUUCUACCUUAAGGCAAGGUUUUAAACCCUUGACUACGGUAUAGUCAGCGACUGGGGUGAAGUCGUAACAAGGUAAC
This 847-nucleotide ribosomal RNA is filed under the name uncultured Alphaproteobacteria bacterium. RNAcentral's name for it is "bacterial SSU rRNA". It matches the Rfam family "Bacterial small subunit ribosomal RNA", at positions 642 to 1500 of the family's 1533-position model. Lineage: Bacteria; Pseudomonadati; Pseudomonadota; Alphaproteobacteria. The record is from RNAcentral.